CGGAAGCAACACAGUCACGCCCAAAAGAAACGACAGAGAAAAGCAAAAGAAACAAAUGCCGACAACGGCGGAUCAACAAAAACGAAGAAGCCUCGCGAUCGCAGCGCCCACCAGGAUCUUCCACUAGACUCCAAGACUCCGAAGCGCCGGCACCUAUCAACACCUCCAACAAGGAUCGCGACGAUGAUGAUGCUGCUGCCAAGGGUUUCCCCCGGUACACGACGAGGCGAGAGGAAGGGUAGCCCCGACGCCCUCCCGGAAGGUCAGGUGGCACCCACAGGCGCCACCGCGCCGGUGUUGGCCAUGCCGACAGGGGUUUCCCCCGAUCCCAACCCGCACCUCGGGCGCCCCGGAGCCUGCCACCAAACCAAUCAC
Molecule: ribosomal RNA, 375 nt
Filed under: Triticum aestivum (bread wheat)
Lineage: Eukaryota; Viridiplantae; Streptophyta; Magnoliopsida; Poales; Poaceae
Description: partial small subunit ribosomal RNA
Source: RNAcentral